This 2442-nucleotide long non-coding RNA is filed under the name Chrysolophus pictus (golden pheasant). Its description in RNAcentral is "lncRNA (ENSCPIG00010009408.1)". The record is from RNAcentral. Lineage: Eukaryota; Metazoa; Chordata; Aves; Galliformes; Phasianidae.
CUUCUCGCUCCUCUCCCGCACAACCCGGGGCAGCAGCCGCCGUCCCGGCCCGGUCCGCUGCUCCGCUCCGUUCUGCGGUUCCCAUGCGGGGCGGCCCCGCGUCCACCCCCCGCCCAUGGCCCGGCUCUCGGUGAAGGAGCACCUGGACGGGAUCCUCAGCGACUUCGAAGCCCUCAAGAAGUCGUUUGAGGCAGAGGAUGCAGGUGAUGCUCCCGGAUCCCCCAUUGUGUCCCCGCUGCCUGUGAGUGCCACUGAGAGCCACCGGGUGCUGCAGCCCGGCCCUGCACCACACAGCCCAUUGCUGCGGGGUCAGCACCUUGCUGGCCGGGCUCCCGGCAGCAUCGCCUCCUUCCAGAGCCACACGGGGCCGGGCAGCGAUGGUGAGAGCCUGCGCAGCUCCAGCUCCAGCCUGGAGAGCCCCGCGGCCCCCCAACCUCCUGCAGCCUCCCUGGCUGCCGACCCCUGCUUGAAGAAAGUACCAUCACACGGCUGCGUGUUCCCAGCGGAAGCAGAAUGUUCCCUGCAUGUGGCCGCCGGGCACAGCUCUCUGCCAGCACUGGACCUGCACAUCGCCGAGGAGCCAGGCAUCCCCCUGCCAGCCCCACACCCCACACAGCCAUGGGGUGCCCACAGCCCCGCUGCCCUGCCCCACACCCGCCUGCCUUCCUCCUCCUCCUCAGGUGGUGAGAUGGCCCCAGGGCUGCCCCGCACACAGCUCAGGGUCAGCCUCAGUGCCAGCCCCCGCCUGGCUCGCCCGACCCCCCACACCCUCACCGGCCCUGGUGAGGGGCUGCUCCCCCCAGCUGCCCCCUUCAAGCUGGUGUCACAGCCACAGACGGUGCAGGUGAGCUCCCAGCCUGCCUUCCUCGGGGGGGUGGUGCUGGGGCCGGGCACCCCAGUGGCACUGAGGAACAUCAGCAGCACCAGCCCCAGCACGGGGACCUGCUUGGUGAUGUCACGAGGGCUCAGCCAGGCUGCAGAUGGAUGCUGUGCCACAGUGACACCGGAGCACGGUAGGACUCGCUCCUCCCCUCUGUCCUUUCUCCGGGUGUGACAUUGCCACCUCAUGCCACCACCGCUGGUGCUGGGGACUGGUGUUGGUGGGGAUGUGGUCACAUUAGUCAAAGCCUCUCAAGAUCCCUAAGCCCUUGCUCCCAUCCCCACGUUGUUCCCGUGAUUGUGCAUUCAUGAUAGUGGAGAUGUGUGAUGGCCAUGUGUUCCAGGUACCAUUUGAAUGCGUGGCUGUUGGUGGCACUGAGUGGCACCAUUCCCUGCUCAAGAACCACCACGCAGCCCAGCAGUGCCCCGUGUCCCCUCCAUCCCCUUGCCAUGGGGAGCCCGGUCACAGCACGGGGCCCCUAGGCACCAGGCUCAGCCGCGUCCCCAUCCAUCCCCAGGGCAGUGCCGUGCUCGGAGCCGGACGCCACGGUGGCCGCCUGUUUUUGUGCCUGGGGAGCGCUGUCUGUGUGCCUGGGGAGCACAGCUGUCUCUCUCAGGUGUCUCGCAUGCCACCGUCGCCGCGGCUCUAAGUACUGACGCGCGCAAAGGCAUCCAUCCCUCCAUCCCUCCAUCCGUCCCUCCGCUCGGGGCUGCGUGAAUCAUGCGGCAGCAAUGCCCGUGGCCGAGCCGGCCAGGCUGCACCCGCGCUGGGGGACACGUUGGGGACAGUGGUUUGUGUGCUGGGGACGGGAUGGGAUGGGUCACGGAGUGGGCGUGAGCCGGAGGGCAGCGUGCGGGCGCCGGGAUGGGGACGGUGCGCUCCCGGGCGCGCUCCUCUUUUCAGGAAGCGCCGAGCUUCGCUCCACGGCCGCCCCGUUUCACUUCCACCCAGCGCCCACGCAGCGCCCCGGGGUGAGGAGGAGGCGGAGGAGGAGCGGAGGAGGGGCUGUGGGCUGCAGCUUUCUCCUGCCUGCACCCCAGGAGUUAUUCGGCCGGUGAGCGGUGACCGGCUCGUGGUGCAGCGAGGUAGGGGUGGCCGAGGGCGCGGGGCGAAGGGCAGGGUGGGUGUGCAGGUCCCUUGAUGCGUGGCGUGGGGCUGCUCGCUGUCACUGCAGGAUUUCAGUCCCCAUCGCCACGGCAGGGCCCUGCGCUCUCACUUCUGCUUCUGCUUGUGGCUCUGCUUGUGUCUCUGGCUGUGGGGACAACUGUCACUGCUGUCCCUUCGGGUUGUCACUGCGUGGCUCUUUCAUGGGCUGGGGACCCUGCACCCCAUUGCCUUCCACCUGUGCAGCAGAGCUUCUGGGUCACGGGGCCGCACUCCUGGCGAUGCUCGCUCCUUUCCCAUCCCCUCCUGCCCACCUCCACCCCCUGAGCUUAUUACAGACUUCCCGGCCAACAUGCCGAUUAACGCCGCAUCAGUAAUUAAACCAUGCUGGGAGACCACGAACCCGGGUUUACCCGUCCCAGCCUGGAAAAUAAACCCUCCUCAAUUAGCCCGGAACA